RNAcentral lists this small RNA (100 nucleotides) under Pongo abelii (Sumatran orangutan). RNAcentral's name for it is "processed transcript". Lineage: Eukaryota; Metazoa; Chordata; Mammalia; Primates; Hominidae. The record is from RNAcentral.
CUCUGUCCUGGGGCUGCCCAAGGAAAUCGUGACUAUCGUGGUAUUUGGCGUGGAGUACUUCGUGCGGAUCUGGGCCGCAGGCUGCUGCUGCCGGUACCGU